UGCCCAAUCCAUUGGCGUCUGAAAGGCGCUGCGUGGAUGAUGAUGCCACUGAUUUACGAUAUUCCAGCAUAAUAUCUAAUAACAAUGCAGUUGCGCUCGCCUGCAUCCUGUCAGGGCUUGUUUUGGUAAUGCCUUUCUUCCUGUUAUGGGCUACGCUGAUCGUCUGAGUAGGUGACCCGGUAGGUUACCGGGUCAUUUU
RNAcentral lists this small RNA (199 nucleotides) under Salmonella bongori. RNAcentral's name for it is "isrO Hfq binding RNA". It matches the Rfam family "isrO Hfq binding RNA". The record is from RNAcentral. Lineage: Bacteria; Pseudomonadati; Pseudomonadota; Gammaproteobacteria; Enterobacterales; Enterobacteriaceae.